Molecule: ribosomal RNA, 522 nt
Filed under: Tabularia laevis
Lineage: Eukaryota; Bacillariophyta; Fragilariophyceae; Fragilariales; Fragilariaceae
Description: eukaryotic LSU rRNA
Rfam family: Eukaryotic large subunit ribosomal RNA
Source: RNAcentral
CCGCUGAAUUUAAGCAUAUAAUUAAGCGGAGGAAAAGAAACUAACCAGGAUUCCCUCAGUAAGGGCGACUGAAGCGGGAAGAGCUCGAACCGAAGAAUUGUGGUGUGUUUGCAUUAUUGGUCCGGUCGAAGUCCCUUGGAACAGGGCGGCCUAGAGGGUGAGACCCCCGUUUGGCUGGACCUUUGAGCUUACAUAAUAGAGUCGAGUUGUUUGGGAUUGCAGCUCAAAGUGGGUGGUAAAUUCCAUCGAAAGCUAAAUAUUGGUGGGAGACCGAUAGCGUACAAGUACCGUGAGGGAAAGAUGCAAAGAACUUUGAAAAGAGAGUUAAAGAGUACCUGAAAUUGCUGAAAUGGAAGCGAAGGAAACCAGUGUCGUGCGUGUCAUAUUUCUCUGCUCGCUUGCGAGUUGAGCGCUGUGGCUGCACUGGUCAAGGUUGGUUGGAGACGGCGUAAUUCAUGCUGUCUCUGACUGAGUUUUGACGAAAUGGUUUUCUUUACCCCGUCUUGAAACACGGGACCAAGG